CUCAGCAUUGAAAUUCUCAAGGCUGCUGGUGAGCGAAGUGGCGGGUCACUUGAUGGAGUGGCAUUUCUCCUUCGUUCUGAUUUCUUAGGUGAUCCUGCUGCUUCUUAUGCUGUUGCAGACACCAUUGCUAGGUCUGACGAUGAGGCUGUUGCCCCUGAGCUUAGGGCUUUUCUUCAGGAGCACUGGUCAGAGGCGGCAUUUUUGGAUGGAUUAAGACAAGGUGAAGAACAUUAUAUGAAUCUUGUAAGGAUUUUGAAUUGGGGUGGAUCUCCUAUGUGCAUAAGGGAUCUGCCAGGCCCUCUCAAGGUGGCAAUUGCUUACUUGCCACUGUAUAGGGAGUGUGUUGCAGCAGGUGGUAGUUUAUUUUCACAAAGGCUACGAGGGCAGCUUGUUGAAGCUGUGAGAAGACUUGGGGGUGGGUCUUUAGAAGGGGUGGGUCAGGGCAAAGAGCUCUUGGCUAUUUUGGAGCAUCACCUUCCUCCAUUU
RNAcentral lists this unclassified non-coding RNA (486 nucleotides) under Hevea brasiliensis (rubber tree). Lineage: Eukaryota; Viridiplantae; Streptophyta; Magnoliopsida; Malpighiales; Euphorbiaceae. The record is from RNAcentral.